UACGAAGGGGACUAGCGUUGUUCGGAAUUACUGGGCGUAAAGCGCACGUAGGCGGUUUUGUAAGUCAGGGGUGAAAUCCCGGGGCUCAACCUCGGAACUGCCUUUGAUACUGCAAGUCUCGAGUCCGAUAGAGGUGGGUGGAAUUCCUAGUGUAGAGGUGAAAUUCGUAGAUAUCGGGAGGAACACCGGUGGCGAAGGCGGCGACCUGGGUCGAUACUGACGCUGAGGUGCGAAAGCGUGGGGAGCAAACAGG
This 253-nucleotide ribosomal RNA is filed under the name uncultured bacterium. RNAcentral's name for it is "partial 16S ribosomal RNA". It matches the Rfam family "Bacterial small subunit ribosomal RNA", at positions 524 to 776 of the family's 1533-position model. The record is from RNAcentral.